UAGGGAAUCUUCCACAAUGGACGCAAGUCUGAUGGAGCAACGCCGCGUGAGUGAAGAAGGCUUUCGGGUCGUAAAACUCUGUUGUUGGAGAAGAAUGGUCGGCAGAGUAACUGUUGUCGGCGUGACGGUAUCCAACCAGAAAGCCACGGCUAACUACGUGCCAGCAGCCGCGGUAAUACGUAGGUGGCAAGCGUUAUCCGGAUUUAUUGGGCGUAAAGCGAGCGCAGGCGGUUUUUUAAGUCUGAUGUGAAAGCCCUCGGCUUAACCGA
RNAcentral lists this ribosomal RNA (269 nucleotides) under uncultured bacterium. RNAcentral describes it as "partial 16S ribosomal RNA". It matches the Rfam family "Bacterial small subunit ribosomal RNA", at positions 355 to 616 of the family's 1533-position model. The record is from RNAcentral.